GGUGCCCCCCUUGUGGUCGGUAUACAGGUGGUGCAUGGCUGUCGUCAGCUUGUGUCGUGAGAUGUUGGGUUAAGUCCCGCAACGAGCGCAACCCUUGUUCUGUGUUGCCAGCAUGCCCUUCGGGGUGAUGGGGACUCACAGGAGACUGCCGGGGUCAACUCGGAGGAAGGUGGGGACGACGUCAAGUCAUCAUGCCCCUUAUGUCUUGGGCUGCACACGUGCUACAAUGGCCGGUACAAUGAGCUGCGAUGCCGCGAGGCGGAGCGAAUCUCAAAAAGCCGGUCUCAGUUCGGAUUGGGGUCUGCAACUCGACCCCAUGAAGUCGGAGUUGCUAGUAAUCGCAGAUCAGCAUUGCUGCGGUGAAUACGUUCCCGGGUCUUGUACACACCGA
This 391-nucleotide ribosomal RNA is filed under the name Streptomyces caeruleatus. RNAcentral's name for it is "bacterial SSU rRNA". It matches the Rfam family "Bacterial small subunit ribosomal RNA", at positions 1011 to 1393 of the family's 1533-position model. Lineage: Bacteria; Bacillati; Actinomycetota; Actinomycetes; Kitasatosporales; Streptomycetaceae. The record is from RNAcentral.